AUUACAUGAAGGUUGAUAGUUGAAGGUGGCGGUUAAAGCUUGAAGUUUUUAGAUUUUGGUUUUUUUUUUCAUUGAAUAAUGUUUAAAAUAAUUAUUUAUUACAUGAAGGUUGAUAGUUGAAGGUGGCGGUUGAGCUUGAAGCUUUUAGAUUUUGAUUUUGUUUUCAUUGAAUAAUGUUUCUCAUUUCAUGAGAACUUGGUUUUCGUUUUAUGUUUUUAUUUAUUGGUUUUUAUUUUAUCAAUAACUAUGUUUACCUUUCGUUUGAUUUUGAAUGAUCACGUCUGAUGUUCUUUUCUUAUUUUUGAAUCGAUUUUACUUAUGUUUUGGUUACAAAAUAUGUACAAAUUAGGUAUUUUAAAGCCGAAAAACAAAUUUUACUUAUAUUUUGGUUAAAAAAGUAGAUACAAAUCAAAUAUUUUUAAACCGAAGAACCGAUUGGGACUCAAACCCGAAAGUACAUCGGAUUGUACCGGUUUUUUGAAGAUUUACUAACCCCGACCU
RNAcentral lists this long non-coding RNA (501 nucleotides) under Brassica napus (rape). RNAcentral's name for it is "long non-coding RNA (BNAP_LNC026203)". The record is from RNAcentral. Lineage: Eukaryota; Viridiplantae; Streptophyta; Magnoliopsida; Brassicales; Brassicaceae.